GCUCCGAUUCGACCCCUAGCCUGGGAACCUCCAUGUGCUACAGGUUUGGCCUUAAAAAGCCAAAAGCCAAAAAAAAAAAAAAAAAAACAGGAUCCAGCACUGUCACUGCAGCAGCUUGGGUUGCUGCUAUGGUGUGGGUUUGAUCACUGGCCUGGGAACGUCCACGUGCCUUGGGUGUGGCCUAAAAUAAAAGGAAAUAAAAUAGAGAGAAGGAGUCCCUACAAGUCCUAUGGGUAUUAAAAGGAUGGCAAGGAAAUACGACAAACUUUAUGGCAGGAAAAUUUACAACACAGAUGAAAGAGACACAUGCCUGGGACAGAACAAGUCACUGAAACUUAUUCAAGCCAAAAUAGACCCAAAUAACCUUGCAAAACCUCUAACAAAGAAAGCUCUUGGCCCAGAUGACACGUUAUGAAUUAUCAAAGUCCCCCAGUAACUAGAGGAGGCAGGCACACUUCUUAGUUCAUUUAUGAGGCCAGCACCACCCUGGUACCCAAGCUAGACAAAGUCUAGGGACCGAUAUCCGUCAUGAAGUAGAAAAUUUUAGCCAAUCAAACCAGCAACAUGCAAAAGGGGUUCUGCCUCCUAAUCAGAUGGGGUUUAUCCCAGGGAUGCAGGGCUGGUUUAACAUUCACAGCCAAUCGUUAUAAUUCCCUUUAUUGACAAACCAAAAAGAACACCACUCAGUGGUGACUAUCUCACUGGUGAAAAAAAAAGCAUUUAAUACUCAUUUGCGGUUUAAGAACGUCUCUGAGGAGUUCUCCUGUGGCCCAGUGGGUUAGGAUCCAGCAUUGUCACCGCAGCGGCUAGAGUCACUGCUGUGGCGUGGGUUUGAUUCCCGGCCCAGGCGCUUCCACAUGCCACAGGCUCUGCCGAAAAAAAGAAAAAGUCUCAGAAAACUAGAGCUUGCUCUGUCUAAUAAAGGGCAUCUAUAAAAACCCUGUAACUACCGUUCUAGUUAAUGGGGGAGACUGAAGUUUUCCUUCUAGAUCAGCAACAAGGCCAGGACGAGUGCUCUCACCGCCCUAUUCAGCAUCAUACCGGGAAAGGAAGGCCAGGAAAGGAAGAAAAGGCACACAGAAUGGGAACAAAAGAGCGGCAUUAUCUUCAUUCACGGAUGGCACCGUGGCCUAUGUGGAAAACCCUACGAAAUCCACAAAACCCUUGCUGGAACCGGCCUUCUCGUCGGAAACCUCCAAGGACCCUCGUUCCCGCCCACCCUGCCGACCCCGUGCCUCGCCAAAGGAUAUGCGUUGUAAUCAGUUCCCACUUGUCCGACGUCCAAGUGACAAGGUUCAGGUGACGUGGUUUCCCCUUCUGGCCUUUCCUGGAAGGAUGACCUCGGGGCCGAGCGGAAGCCGCUGCUGGGUUCGGGGGGGACGACUGUGGGGCCAGAGCCAGACCAGCUUUUGUGAGCUGACUGGAAGCCCGGGGGUCUCUCUGACAUGGAGGUGACUGACCAGUGUGGACGUCGGGUGGACCACGCCCUGGAGGUCAGGGUGCACGUUUGCCGUCGGAUAUUGUGCUCCUGCAGGAGGGCCCUCUUACCCCCGAAGCCCCUGGACAACGAGCAGCUGGCAGAGAGCACUAAUGGGGUGGCGCUGGUUCAUCCGAGGCUGAGGACAGAGCCCGUCCCACAGAGUGACCUCCCAUGACCUGGGCCCUCUCCCGUUCUCCCGUGUCCUGACUCCGGGUGGUCCAGGACCUGCCUUUGGUUCUGCACCGACCGCCCCCCUUCUGUGCACCCGGUCUUGGGGUCUGUUGCAUGAGGUGACUGAGUGACAGCUUCUGUUUGUAUUAAUCCAGCCAUGACCAGAAGGCCUCCCUCUGCCAUUGCUUCUGCGGGCCUGGGAGGCCUUUUAAAGUGCUGGCUGCAGAGAGCAAGUCCAGCCAUCACGUUAGGAAGUUGACAAAUUUAGCUCUUGAUUCCCAGCUCUGGGUGGGCAGGCAGUUUACCCUCCUGGGCAGUAGUGGCUCCGUGUGCUGGUAACGACUAGUCGGUUAACGCCAAGCCAGCGCCAAUCUCGUCCUUUUUAUAUUUACAGUCACGAUUUAUUAAAAGCGAUGCUGCUUAAAUAUAUGAAGGGAACACUGCAGUCAUUGGUUUUCAAAUUAAAAUUACU
This 2123-nucleotide long non-coding RNA is filed under the name Sus scrofa (pig). Its description in RNAcentral is "lncRNA (ENSSSCG00005001930.1)". The record is from RNAcentral. Lineage: Eukaryota; Metazoa; Chordata; Mammalia; Artiodactyla; Suidae.